GGGAAAGUCACCAGUACUGUUGCCAUCUACGAUGGUUGGUAAGGUAGGUGUACUAAAUGCAUUUUCAACGUAUUUGGGCUUAUUUGGAGGCAACCUAUUUUAAGUCCAGGAACAUCUGCAUUUCCUUUUAUUGUAUGACAAGCAUUCUGCAAAGGACCUUAAAUCCAUUAGCUAAAUCUUUUUUCUUCGUCUUUAGGAUUAAAAUUUGAAUUCAUUUACUUUCAACCUUGUCUUUCCAGGAAUCUGUAUCCCACAAGUUUUGUUAUGUAGUUCUUUCAUAGUUGCAAUUUUUAUGAAGAAUUUCUGUUUAAAAUUCUUGUUCUCAGCCCCUCCUUCUAGUGGCUCUUGGGACCAUGCACAUCCUCACCUGAAGCAGACCAAGAUCAAGACCCCCCAUGGUAAAAAAAUUGGUCAAAGAAAGAGUGAUAUAUGAAAAAGAAGCAAAACAACUGGAAGAGAAGAUUUUAAAAAAAUGAAAGCUGAAUGUGGCAAAAAUGAUGACCUUAAAAAGUAGGCAGAGAUCCUGCAAGAGUCCCGGAUGAUGACCCCAGAUUGCUAUCACAGGUUAGAUGCUGCAUAUUGUGAUCUUCAACAGAUAAUAGAAACUGAAAAAGACUUGGAAUCAGUGGAGGGUUCUAAAGAAGCACUUUGAACACUGAAUUCAGUGAGAUUAGAACCCUGAAACUUUUCUGAACAUGGUAGUUUUUGCAUUAAAUCCUGGGCUCUAUUCUGUAAUUCUUGAU
This 743-nucleotide long non-coding RNA is filed under the name Marmota monax (woodchuck). Lineage: Eukaryota; Metazoa; Chordata; Mammalia; Rodentia; Sciuridae. The record is from RNAcentral.